CUUGAAUUAUCUGGAGAAACUGAAGGAAGAUGAUUUCUCUCUAGAGCUGUAAUAACUUUUGAUAAUGUCACGGAAAGAGUUGCUCGGCAUCUUGGUUUGGAUGACCCAACCAAAAUCAAACUUACUCCUCACCACUGUUGCUUGCAGCAACCCAUAGCUCCAGCCAUUAAGUACCAUGGUUUUGACCACUUGUCUGAGAUGUUGAUUCACCACAAUCAGGUAAUUCAUCACUCUGAACCUAGCUUUCUAAGGCUUGCUCGAUCUUGUCAACUUAACUAUUACAUUUGAAUGCGUCGCUGAUACUUCCUUGAAGGGUUUUCCGACAGAAAUCUGAUAUUUUGUAUUUCGAAGUCUUGGACAUCCCUCCACCACUGUUGGAAGGUUUAAAAACUCUAAAUGUAUCUUUUCAUCAUGCAAAAAAAGAUACUGUCAUUCACCGAAUUAGACUUCCAAGCA
Molecule: long non-coding RNA, 456 nt
Organism: Papaver somniferum (opium poppy)
Lineage: Eukaryota; Viridiplantae; Streptophyta; Magnoliopsida; Ranunculales; Papaveraceae
Exons: 3
Source: RefSeq, a predicted model, not a curated record